CAGUCGCCACGGGAAAACGGAGGGUGCAAGCGUUAUCCGGAUUUAUUGGGUUUAAAGGGUCCGUAGGCGGAUCUGUAAGUCAGUGGUGAAAUCUCACAGCUUAACUGUGAAACUGCCAUUGAUACUGCAGGUCUUGAGUAAAUUUGAAGUGGCUGGAAUAAGUAGUGUAGCGGUGAAAUGCAUAGAUAUUACUUAGAACACCAAUUGCGAAGGCAGGUCACUAAGAUUUAACUGACGCUGAUGGACGAAAGCGUGGGGAGCGAACAGGAUUAGAUACCCCGGUAGUCCCUGUCUCUUAUAC
RNAcentral lists this ribosomal RNA (301 nucleotides) under uncultured bacterium. RNAcentral describes it as "partial 16S ribosomal RNA". It matches the Rfam family "Bacterial small subunit ribosomal RNA", at positions 509 to 807 of the family's 1533-position model. The record is from RNAcentral.